RNAcentral lists this ribosomal RNA (468 nucleotides) under uncultured bacterium. RNAcentral's name for it is "partial 16S ribosomal RNA". It matches the Rfam family "Bacterial small subunit ribosomal RNA", at positions 28 to 507 of the family's 1533-position model. The record is from RNAcentral.
GACGAACGCUGGCGGCGUGCUUAACACAUGCAAGUCGAACGGAAAGGCCCUGCUUUUGUGGGGUGCCCGAGUGGCGCACGGGUGAGUAACACGUGAGUAACCUGCCCUUGACUUUGGGAUAUCCUCAGGCAACUGGGGCUACUACCGGCUAGGAGAUGCUGCUGCAUGGUGGGGGUUGGAAAGCUUCGGCGGUUGGAGAUGGACUCGCGGCUGAUCAGCUUGUUGGUGGGGUAGUGGCUUACCAAGGCUUUGACGGAUAGCCGGCCUGAGAGGGUGGACGGCCACAUUGGGACUGAGAUACGGCCCAGACUCCUACGGGAGGCAGCAGUGGGGAAUAUGGCACAAUGGGCGGAAGCCUGAGGCAGCAACGCCGCGUGCGGGAUGACGGCCUUCUGGUGGGAAACCGCUGUCGCCUGUGACGAAGCGUGAGUGACGGUAAUGGGUAAAGAAGCACCGGCUAACUACGUG